Long non-coding RNA from Lolium perenne, 2324 nucleotides. RefSeq lists it as uncharacterized. The record is from RefSeq and is a predicted model, not a curated record. Lineage: Eukaryota; Viridiplantae; Streptophyta; Magnoliopsida; Poales; Poaceae.
CUCUCGACCCGACCCGACCCGACCCAGUCCUCUGGCUCCUCUCCUCCACUUACCCCUCUCUCGCGAAUUGAUUCCAGGAUGCGCCGCCGCCGUGCGUCCGCCGCCGGCCGCCUCCGCCAGCUGCCUUCGCCGCCUCUAGCCACUCAGCGAACUGCGCCUUGCGCCCCUCCACUGGAUCCCUACCCGCGUCCCACCGUUCCGCUCCUGAGAGCGAGGCAGCGGCUAACCCUAGCAGUGGGGUUUGGCAUGGUCGCCGCCGCGGUUCCCGCGCCGCCACGCCUCGUGCUUCUCCCCUACGCCAUCUGCGGCAUGCUUCUCACCCCGGCCACGAGCUCCUGCUCCUCCGUCUUGUUGCCGUGCGGCUUGGCGCCGACCGCGUCGAGCCCUCACACGACGCCGUCCACCCCAUCCCGUGCGGGGGGCCUGUGCUACACCCCGCCAUGGCCGCCUCGAGGACCGCAACAUCGCCAUGGACCACGACAUUCAGGGCCUCCUCGUCGACAACCAGCGGUUCGCAUCGAGCAUCGCCGACCAGACCACGCGCAUCGAGGCCGAGGCGCACACCGUCGCCGGCGAGGGUGGAGGUCCAGCAGCUCCUCGCAGACGUGCGGGUGAUGGCUGCGCGUCCUCAGCGAGCAGCUAGGGCGUACCCAAUCCGAGUCGGCCAAGGCUGGCAACAUCGGUAUCCAGGGAGAUCGAGAAGGGAAGGUAUGAGGAUUGAUGGGAUGAUGGAGUAUUGAUAAAGAAGCCCCAAAAUAUGUGGAGUGUCUGCUGGACUGGAUUGAAGGCCAGCUUGACAAUGAAUCCUUAUUCCUUAGAAGCUCGGCACACCAUUUCCACCUCGACUGCAGUGACGAGAGUCGACGGCGCUUUCCUCAUGGCCCUGGUGGGCAAUAACCACGGGAUGAUCCCUGCCUCCGUCUACUCAUCCGGGGCUGGUGAGUGGACCGACACCAUCUCCAUUGGGCAGUAAAUUGGCGUUGAGAUCGACAAUUUUGGGCACAACGCUGUUGUUGGAAAUAAGGUAUAUCUCCCCUGUGGAGACUGGAGAGACAGACCUGGUAGUGGAGUACGACAUGGGUGCACAAGAAAUAAGUGACCCCUUCCUGCCGGGUAAGGUUAUUGACUUGAUUGAUGAAGCAGGUUCCCGUGUUAGGCUCAUGCAUGCACAUCUCUCUGAUGAAGCCAAGGAGCUGGACAAAAACUUUGCUGGAUAACAAAAGACAAGAAUGAGGCUGCACAAAUAAGAAUGGAUAACAAAAUACAAGAAUGAGGCUGCACAAACAAGCUUACUUGGAAGCCCAAGUAAGAAUGGAUGACAGAAAUACAAUUCUCGCCGCGGCCAAUGAAGAAGCGCUCCCGCCGGAUCCUCUUUAGUGAAUCACAUGCUGCCUUUCAUAUUGCAGAUAUAAGGAUGACCGUAAAUGCACCCAUCUAAUUGUUGAAGCUUUAGAUCCCAGUGGAAAGAUAUCUUUGGCUCAAAUUUCUCGAAAGCUUACACAGCUAGGCCUCAGGAAUUCCAAGAAGAGGACAAAAGUUCCAGAGGCACCUCUCUCAGCUGAAAACCUAGCUACACAACCACAAAACCACGCGCUAGAUGAUCCUAAGCCAGAGAGUACCCGGCGCUGAAGGAAAAGGUUACAUGGGUUAAGCAGUAAUCAUGACAACAGCUCUAGUCAUCCAAUAUCAUCUGAUGAAGAAACACUGCAAGCACUUAAGAGCAGGCAAAUUCCCGCUUUAAAUUGCUUUCAUGAGUUAAUUUAUUAGCUUGAUACAGUUAGCGAAAGGAUAUCUUUGCAAGAAAAUAACCAGGGAAAGAAUAUGGGAGUAGUGUAUGUUUGAAACCUGAAUUGACAGUACAGUAAUUUUAUCUUAGAUAUUGGUGGGUUCAAUUUAAUUGAGGCAAUGUAGUUUUAUCUUAGACUUGGCAGCUCCUUUUCCCCGAAAAAGGUGUAAGGCUAAGUGGCUAACAAUAACCAGGGAAAGCAUAUGGGUUUCUAAUUUUGAUGACAAUACAGUGGUUCGGGCUAUUGUGUUUUCCCCUGUUUUUGUUUGUCUAUCCUUGCAGCAGUGAGCGAGCGAGACCGUGUUAUUGGUGUAGUUGCAGAAAACCUACUCCCGAUUGUUAGCUAGAUUGUUAACUUGUCCUACUUGAUCCCAUAUUUCAUGUAUCGUAGCUUCCUGCAAUAUUUUUCGAACAGAAAAUAGGCAUUUUAUUUGAAUAUUUUACUGACGUCCAAAGGCUGUUCCGGUCUAUAGCAGUUCACAAUUCGUAACUAUAGUUUACUGUUUUAGAAAUAAGUAUAAUGGGUUUUCAUUUUGCU